CAUUCAUAUUAGUAGUAUUCAGCUCUGUGAUGAAACAUGUAUGUUUUCUUCGUAGGUCAGCCUCAUAAUCCCAUAGUUUUCCAAAUUGAAUGGCUUGUGCUUUAAGGAUAGUGUGCAACACAAUCCGUCUUCCUCUAGCACUUUCAAAUAGGUACUACAAUGCUAAACUUUUCCUUUAUAAUGUCAUUUAUCUCAGCUGAUUACAUGUUUAUAUUUCUUCUUAAUUAUUCUCUGAACAGUGCUGCAAUCUCUCCUUGUUUCAGUAUUGAGACCUUACUUGAUUUCUCAUGGUUGUGAUUUUUGUGACACACAUUCACCAUUUAUUGAUAGAUAUUUUAACUGAGCAUAAAAUUUUCCUAGGUCAUUUUUCUACACAACAAACUGCAUAUUACUUGUUUCUGACUUCGCCAUUUUAACACCAUAUUGUGUGUUAAGUGAGUAUUGAAGCAGCUGAUCCUUAAACUCCAAUCCACUAUCAAAAUUUUGAAACAACCAGAUGUAGGGUUCUUUAUCCAAAGGUCCAUGAAACUUAGAUUUACUUCUAGUCUUUCGUUUAGACAUCCUUUGAUCUCAUUCCUCUUGUGAUUUUAAUGGUGUAUCUGGAUAUUUCACAUCCCCAAACCUAUCUUCUUCAUCUCUUUCUGCUGCUUCCCUUGCUUCUUCUCAAAUUCCUUUGUUAUGUCUCAUUUGUGAUGCCUUAAAAUCAGCUGUUGACUUCGUACUUUCCUCAAAGACACUCUUAAACCUCUCAUCAUUAGCAUCAUCUCAUGCGUAUACUAAAACUUCCUUUCCAUCGUCAUUUUAAUCUGCUUCUUGUUGAAUUUCAUCUUCUUCCUCAGCUACUGGUUGCUCAUCCUUGGAUUCUUCACCGUCAUCAUCUUCUCUCAGCCUAUUUACACAUUCAUCACCAUUCUCUACUUCGUUCUAAUCAUCAUGCUCAAAAUCCCUCUCUCUAUCAAAUUUGCACCUCUUUUAUCCUCUCUUUGGCUACUUGGCAAAAAAUCAAUGGUGUUUGGCGAAUGAGCUGAGCAGUCUUGUUCCAAAAACACAUCUACUUCACCACAUUCCUUCCUUGCAGCUUGUGCUCAACCAUAUCGUCAUUCAUCGUGUCAAACACAUACUUUAGAUCCUUUAAUUCUUUGCUUGGAAGCUUGUACCAAAUCAAUGCAAUUGACGACAUAAUUUUCUUAUUUACAAUGAAGGCUUUAAAAUUCUCCCAUCCAAUUUCAUAAGGCUUCCAA
This 1241-nucleotide long non-coding RNA is filed under the name Brassica napus (rape). RNAcentral's name for it is "long non-coding RNA (BNAP_LNC007481)". Lineage: Eukaryota; Viridiplantae; Streptophyta; Magnoliopsida; Brassicales; Brassicaceae. The record is from RNAcentral.